GCAGCCGCGGUAAUUCCAGCUCCAAUAGCGUAUAUUAAAGUUGUUGCAGUUAAAAAGCUCGUAGUUGAAUUUCGGGAUCAAUAUGUUGGUCGUGCCAUUGGUACGUACUGGCAUUAUUGGUUUCUACCUUCUGAAGAACCUCGAUGUCAUUAAUUUGGUGUCUUGGGGAAUCAGGACUGUUACUUUGAAAAAAUUAGAGUGUUUAAAGCAGGCUCGCGCUUGAAUACAUUAGCAUGGAAUAAUGAAAUAGGACGUUUGAUUCUAUUUUGUUGGUUUCUAGGAUCGACGUAAUGAUUAAUAGGGAUAGUUGGGGGCAUUAGUAUUCAAUUGUCAGAGGUGAAAUUCUUGGAUUUAUUGAAGACUAACUACUGCGAAAGCAUUUGCCAAGGAUGUUUUCAUUAAUCAAGAACGAAAGUUAGGGGAUCGAAGACGAUCAGAUACCGUCGUAGUCUUAACCAUAAACUAUGCCGACUAGGGAUCGGAUGAUGUUAAUUUUUUAAUGACUCAUUCGGCGCCUUACGGG
This 523-nucleotide ribosomal RNA is filed under the name uncultured Glomeromycotina. RNAcentral describes it as "SSU rRNA". It matches the Rfam family "Eukaryotic small subunit ribosomal RNA", at positions 570 to 1094 of the family's 1831-position model. Lineage: Eukaryota; Fungi; Glomeromycota. The record is from RNAcentral.